AAAAAAAAUAAAAAUGGGUGAGCGUCUUUAAUGACCAGACGACACGGUUUCUAAUCUAGUUUAGAUGGAUUAUCAUAAUUUGGUCCUGUUUUCAAUCUAAUUAUGCUAUUGUUCCCGUAGGGAUCAUAUGAACAAUAUCUUAGUUCGAUGAUUUGCAGUCUAGAUGAAUGAGCAUCAUUCCUCUCUUGUCAUGAUGACAUUGUCGUAUAAUUAUAAAAUAAACUUCAUGCAAUUGGAUUUUUGUAUGUAUAAGAAAUAAUGCGUGAUUCUAUAUCUAAACAAAUAGGAGGUGC
RNAcentral lists this long non-coding RNA (293 nucleotides) under Mytilus galloprovincialis (Mediterranean mussel). The record is from RNAcentral. Lineage: Eukaryota; Metazoa; Mollusca; Bivalvia; Mytilida; Mytilidae.